RNAcentral lists this ribosomal RNA (460 nucleotides) under uncultured bacterium. RNAcentral describes it as "partial 16S ribosomal RNA". It matches the Rfam family "Bacterial small subunit ribosomal RNA", at positions 338 to 795 of the family's 1533-position model. The record is from RNAcentral.
CCUACGGGGGGCAGCAGUGAGGAAUAUUGGUCAAUGGACGAGAGUCUGAACCAGCCAAGUAGCGUGAAGGAUGACUGCCCUAUGGGUUGUAAACUUCUUUUAUAUGGGAAUAAAAUGUUCCACGUGUGGGAUUUUGUAUGUACCCUAUGAAUAAGGAUCGGCUAACUCCGUGACAGCAGCCGCGGUAAUACGGAGGAUCCGAGCGUUAUCCGGAUUUAUUGGGUUUAAAGGGAGCGUAGGUGGAUUGUUAAGUCAGUUGUGAAAGUUUGCGGCUCAACCGUAAAAUUGCAGUUGAAACUGGAAGUCUUGAGUACUGUAGAGGUGGACGGAAUUCGUGGUGUAGCGGUGAAAUGCUUAGAUAUCACGAAGAACUCCGAUUGCGAAGGCAGCUCGCUGGACUGCAACUGACACUGAGGCGCGAAAGUGUGGGUAGCAAACAGGAUUAGAUACCCUGGUAGUC